UUUCUGUAUGUUGAAACCUAAGACUGACAGAGCCUUUCUGUUUGUGCACCCUGUCUCAGCGGCAAGAUUCUUUUCACUCUAGACCUUUAGAGUCUGAACCAGCUUCUAAGGAUAAACAGCCUUUACAGGCACAUCUCCAGAUGAGAUGAACGCACCGAAUAUCCCUAUAGAAACAUUUCCUGCCUGCCCCACAGGAAAUUUCUGGACUCUUAACCACCUAAGAAUGCCUGAGCAAGAGCCAGCGGAAGAUCCUGGAUGGCCCUGGAUCCAUGAUGCUUCCCAAGGCACCAGGUCCUCUCUCCGGGUGAACCCAUCCCAGAGUGCCCCGCCCUUCACAAAGAACUCUCCCCCUUCACAAAGAACUCUCCCCCUUCACAAAGAACUCUCCCCCUUCACAGAGAAC
This is a long non-coding RNA of Artibeus jamaicensis (Jamaican fruit-eating bat), 403 nucleotides long. RefSeq lists it as uncharacterized. The record is from RefSeq and is a predicted model, not a curated record. The transcript is spliced from 3 exons. NCBI's taxonomy places the organism in Eukaryota, Metazoa, Chordata, Mammalia, Chiroptera, Phyllostomidae.